CCAGGCCAGCAUCAGUUCGGGCGGUCGGAUAAAGGCCUCGGGAAUGUGGCUCCUCUCGGGGAGUGUUAUAGCCCGGGGCGGAAUGCGGCCAGCCUGGACUGAGGAUCUCGCUUCGGCAAGGAUGCUGGCGUAAUGGUUGUAAGCGGCCCGUCUUGAAACACGGACCAAGGAGUCUAACAUCUAUGCGAGUGUUUGGGUGUCAAACCCAUACGCGUAAUGAAAGUGAACGGAGGUGGGAACCCGCAAGGGCGCACCAUCGGCCGAUCCUGAUGUCUUCGGAUGGAUUUGAGCAAGAGCAUAGCUGUUGGGACCCGAAAGAUGGUGAACUAUGCCUGAAUAGGGUGAAGCCAGAGGAAACUCUGGUGGAGGCUCGCAGCGGUUCUGACGUGCAAAUCGAUCGUCAAAUUUGGGUAUAGGGGCGAAAGACUAAUCGAACCAUUAACAUUGGCGGCCCUUUGUUACGCGCUUAGGCUGCUAGGUGGUUAAGAGGUGGCUAAAAGUGCCUACCUAGUCCCUCUGUCGGGGCAACAUCGUCAAACUGUUCGGGGACGUCCUUAGAGCUUAGACUACCGCGGCCGGGCCGAAAGGCUCGGUGCAGCACCAGGGUAACGACCUCGGGGGUGGUAACAACGUCUAAGAUUGGGCUAUCCGCAGCCAAGCUCCUACGGCCCGGUCGAACGGGCACGGAGAAGGUUCACAGACUAGAUGGCGGUGGGUUCGGCUCGUUUGCGCGGGCCGGGCCUAAGAUAUAGUCGAUCCCCCGCGGAAACGCGGGCGGCGGGGCGAAGCCUGCUGGGCAGACGGGCGCGUCGAGAGGCGCGCGUCUGGCAGGCCCGAACCCCUCCGGGGAGCCGCAGCGCUCCUGGG
This 867-nucleotide ribosomal RNA is filed under the name Neodeightonia subglobosa. RNAcentral describes it as "partial 28S ribosomal RNA". The stretch from base 164 to 459 matches the Rfam family "Eukaryotic large subunit ribosomal RNA", at positions 665 to 1455 of the family's 3401-position model. The record is from RNAcentral. Lineage: Eukaryota; Fungi; Ascomycota; Dothideomycetes; Botryosphaeriales; Botryosphaeriaceae.